CCCCUAGAUGUUCUGGGCCGCACGCGCGCUACACUGACGAAUGCAACGAGCUUAUAACCUUGGCCGAAAGGUCUGGGUAAUCUCCAAAUUUCGUCGUGAUGGGGAUAGAUUAUUGCAAUUAUUAAUCUUCAACGAGGAAUGCCUAGUAAGCGCAAGUCAUCAGCUUGCGUUGAUUACGUCCCUGCCCUUUGUACACACCGCCCGUCGCACCUACCGAUUGAAUGGUCCGGUGAAGCCUCCGGAUUGGCGCGCACCUCGGUGCCGCCGAGAAGUUGGCUAAACCUUACCAUUUAGAGGAAGGUGAAGUCGUAACA
RNAcentral lists this ribosomal RNA (314 nucleotides) under uncultured eukaryote. Its description in RNAcentral is "partial 18S ribosomal RNA". It matches the Rfam family "Eukaryotic small subunit ribosomal RNA", at positions 1470 to 1796 of the family's 1831-position model. The record is from RNAcentral.